This 715-nucleotide ribosomal RNA is filed under the name uncultured beta proteobacterium. Its description in RNAcentral is "bacterial SSU rRNA". It matches the Rfam family "Bacterial small subunit ribosomal RNA", at positions 792 to 1510 of the family's 1533-position model. The record is from RNAcentral. Lineage: Bacteria; Pseudomonadati; Pseudomonadota; Betaproteobacteria.
AGUCCACGCCCUAAACGAUGGCAACUAGGUGUUGGGGAAGCGAUUUCCUGGUACCGCAGCUAACGCGUGAAGUUGCCCGCCUGGGGAGUACGGUCGCAAGAUUAAAACUCAAAGGAAUUGACGGGGACCCGCACAAGCGGUGGAUGAUGUGGAUUAAUUCGAUGCAACGAGAAUCACCUUACGUACCCUUGACAUGUACGGAACCCUGCAGAGAUGUGGGGGUGCUUGAAAGAGAGCCGUAACACAGGUGCUGCAUGGCUGUCGUCAGCUCGUGUCGUGAGAUGUUGGGUUAAGUCCCGCAACGAGCGCAACCCUUGUCCCUAGUUGGUACGCAAGGGCACUCUAGGGAGACUGCCGGUGACAAACCGGAGGAAGGUGGGGAUGACGUCAAGUCUUCAUGGCCCUUAUGGGUAGGGCUUCACACGUCAUGCAAUGGCCGGUACAGAGGGUUGCCAAAGCGCGAGCUGGAGCCAAUCCCCAUAAAAGCCGGUCGUAGUCCGGAUUGCAGUCUGCAACUCGACUGCAUGAAGUCGGAAUCGCUAGUAAUCGCGGAUCAGCAUGUCGCGGUGAAUACGUUCCCGGGUCUUGUACACACCGCCCGUCACACCAUGGGAGCGGGAUGUACCAGAAGUAGGUAGGCUAACCGCAAGGGGGCCGCUUACCACGGUGCGUUUCGUGACUGGGGUGAAGUCGUAACAAGGUACCAAUCCCGCGG